RNAcentral lists this ribosomal RNA (458 nucleotides) under uncultured bacterium. RNAcentral's name for it is "bacterial SSU rRNA". It matches the Rfam family "Bacterial small subunit ribosomal RNA", at positions 1073 to 1533 of the family's 1533-position model. The record is from RNAcentral.
AAUUGGGUAGUCCGUACGAGCGCACCUUAUCCUUAGUUGCCAGCACAUAAUGGUGGGGACUCUAGGGAGACUGCCGGUGUCAAACCGGAGGAAGGCGGGGGCGACGUCAAGUCAUCAUGGUCCUUACGCCCAGGGCUACAAACGUGCUACAAUGGUCGGUACAAUGAGCAGCAAAGCCGUGAGGUGGAGCAAAUCUCAAAAAGCCGGCCCCAGUUCGGAUUGAAGGCUGCAAUUCGCCUUCAUGAAGUCGGAAUCGCUAGUAAUCGCAGGUCAGCCGUACUGCGGUGAAUGUGUUCCUGAGCCUUGUACACACCGCCCGUCAAGCCACCCAAAUGGACCGCACCCGAAGUCGCUACCCUAACCGUAAGGAGGGGGGUGCCGAAGGUGAGGUUCGUGAGGGGGACUAAGUCGUAACAAGGUAGCCGUAGGGGAACCUGCGGCUGGAUCACCUCCUUUCU